RNAcentral lists this ribosomal RNA (674 nucleotides) under Erysiphe platani. Its description in RNAcentral is "partial large subunit ribosomal RNA". It matches the Rfam family "Eukaryotic large subunit ribosomal RNA", at positions 120 to 808 of the family's 3401-position model. Lineage: Eukaryota; Fungi; Ascomycota; Leotiomycetes; Helotiales; Erysiphaceae. The record is from RNAcentral.
AUCUGGCUCCUACGGAGUCCGAGUUGUAAUUUGUAGAAGAUGCUUUGGGUUGUGGGUUCGGCCUAAGUUCCUUGGAACAGGACGUCAUAGAGGGUGAGAAUCCCGUAUGUGGCCGAGGCCUGCGCCUAUGUAAAGCUCUUUCAACGAGUCGAGUUGUUUGGGAAUGCAGCUCAAAAUGGGUGGUAAAUUUCAUCUAAAGCUAAAUAUGGGCCAGAGACCGAUAGCGCACAAGUAGAGUGAUCGAAAGAUGAAAAGCACUUUGGAAAGAGAGUUAAACAGUACGUGAAAUUGUUGAAAGGGAAGCGCUUGCGACCAGACUUGGGCGCUGCCGAUCACCCCGAGUUUUCUCGGGUGCACUCGACAGCGCACAGGCCAGCAUCGGUUCGGGUGGCUGGAUAAAGGCCGUAGGAACGUGGCUCCCUUCGGGGAGUGUUAUAGCCUACGGUGCCAUGCAGCCCAGCCGGACCGAGGACCGCGCCUUCGGGCUAGGAUGCUGGCGUAAUGGUUGUAAGCGACCCGUCUUGAAACACGGACCAAGGAGUCUAACAUCUAUGCGAGUGUUUGGGUGGUAAACCCAUACGCGGAAUGAAAGUGAACGUAGGUGAGAACCCCUUUGGGGCGCAUCAUCGACCGAUCCUGAUGUCUUCGGAUGGAUUUGAGUAAGAGCAUAGCUG